RNAcentral lists this ribosomal RNA (375 nucleotides) under uncultured bacterium. Its description in RNAcentral is "bacterial SSU rRNA". It matches the Rfam family "Bacterial small subunit ribosomal RNA", at positions 28 to 404 of the family's 1533-position model. The record is from RNAcentral.
GACGAACGCUGGCGGCGUGCUUAACACAUGCAAGUCGAGCGGUAAGGCCCUUUCGGGGGUACACGAGCGGCGAACGGGUGAGUAACACGUGGGUGACCUGCCCUUAGCUCUGGGAUAAGCCUGGGAAACUGGGUCUAAUACCGGAUAUGACUCCAUGACGCAUGUUGUGGGGUGGAAAGCCUUGUGCGGCUAGGGAUGGGCCCGCGGCCUAUCAGCUUGUUGGUGGGGUGAUGGCCUACCAAGGCGACGACGGGUAGCCGGCCUGAGAGGGCGACCGGCCACACUGGGACUGAGACACGGCCCAGACUCCUACGGGAGGCAGCAGUGGGGAAUCUUGCGCAAUGGGCGAAAGCCUGACGCAGCGACGCCGCGUGA